UGGGGAAUAUUGGGCAAUGGGCGCAAGCCUGACCCAGCAACGCCGCGUGAAGGAAGAAGGCUUUCGGGUUGUAAACUUCUUUUGUCGGGGACGAAACAAAUGACGGUACCCGACGAAUAAGCCACGGCUAACUACGUGCCAGCAGCCGCGGUAAUACGUAGGUGGCAAGCGUUAUCCGGAUUUACUGGGUGUAAAGGGCGUGUAGGCGGGAUUGCAAGUCAGAUGUGAAAACUGGGGGCUCAACCUCCAGCCUGCAUUUGAAACCGUAGUUCUUGAGUGCUGGAGAGGCAAUCGGAAUUCCGUGUGUAGCGGUGAAAUGCGUAUAUAUACGGAGGAACACCAGUGGCGAAGGCGGAUUGCUGGACAGUAACUGACGCUGAGGCGCGAAAGCGUGGGGAGCAAACAGG
RNAcentral lists this ribosomal RNA (407 nucleotides) under Acidobacteriota bacterium. Its description in RNAcentral is "Acidobacteria bacterium partial 16S ribosomal RNA". It matches the Rfam family "Bacterial small subunit ribosomal RNA", at positions 355 to 776 of the family's 1533-position model. Lineage: Bacteria; Pseudomonadati; Acidobacteriota. The record is from RNAcentral.